GUGGGUGUAGCUAAGUGGUAGAGCACAUGCCUAGCAUGCAUGAGCUCCUGAGUUCAAUACCCAGUCCCUCCA
This 72-nucleotide transfer RNA is filed under the name Camelus bactrianus (Bactrian camel). It matches the Rfam family "tRNA". From Rfam's summary of the family: Transfer RNA (tRNA) molecules are approximately 80 nucleotides in length. Their secondary structure includes four short double-helical elements and three loops (D, anti-codon, and T loops). The record is from Rfam by way of RNAcentral. Lineage: Eukaryota; Metazoa; Chordata; Mammalia; Artiodactyla; Camelidae. RNAcentral also lists the same sequence under 2 other names.